UACGUAGGGGGCAAGCGUUGUCCGGAAUCAUUGGGCGUAAAGAGCGUGUAGGCGGCUCGGUAAGUCCGCUGUGAAGUCCAGGGCUCAACCCUGGAAUGCCGGUGGAAACUGUCGAGCUAGAGUCCGGAAGAGGCGAGUGGAAUUCCUGGUGUAGCGGUGAAAUGCGCAGAUAUCAGGAGGAACACCAUGGCGAAGGCAGCUCGCUGGGACGGUACUGACGCUGAGACGCGAAAGCGUGGGGAGCAAACAGG
Molecule: ribosomal RNA, 251 nt
Filed under: uncultured bacterium
Lineage: Bacteria
Description: partial 16S ribosomal RNA
Rfam family: Bacterial small subunit ribosomal RNA
Source: RNAcentral